This 2205-nucleotide long non-coding RNA is filed under the name Homo sapiens (human). Its description in RNAcentral is "HSALNT0164562". Lineage: Eukaryota; Metazoa; Chordata; Mammalia; Primates; Hominidae. The record is from RNAcentral.
GCCGUGACAUGAUUAAUCGUUUUCUUCUGAUCUAAUUUUGGAACAUGAAAAACAGCACAUUUGUCUUGAAGAAAAAUGAUGUGCCGAACUGCGCAGAUGGAAAUUUCGAGCAAUGAGAAAGAUUAAAGUGAAACCCCACUCCUUAGACCUAAUCAUGAGUUGUAGAUUAUUCUGUCGGCCCAGCCAGAUGGUAGCUCUGAUUCCACAGCCCCUUCUUAUAUUAAUGAAUACUCGACUGUUAUAUUUGACUUAGGCUUCUCAUCUGUAACUGGUGAAGCCCGGAAGAGCUUGUUGUUCAAGAGGAAAUCUUGUGUUACUUCUUUAUGAAGGACUCCAGCCUGGUGGAGAUGAAUGAGUCCUGAAGAUGGAAUCGAAGCUGUUUGGGCACAAACAAGGUUUCACUCUUGUUGCCCAGGCUGGAGUGCAAUGGUGUGAUCUAGGCUCACUGCAACCUCCACCUCCCGGGUUCAAGUGAUUCUCCUGUCUCAGGCUCCCAAGUAGGUGGGAUUACAGUACUUUAAUCAGCAUUUAAUGACCCAGUCGAAAAUUCAUUGUUUGGACCCAAGCACUGGUGGGAAAGGCAGGAGGGGAGGCCUGCCUUCCUUCCUCCCUCCCGAGCCCUACAGCAGGCCAUGGAGUGGUGAGCGAGUUCGUACAGUGCCAACCACAUUCCCAGAAACUUCCAGCAGAGGUUAAUCCUGCUCCUCUCAGGUGGGCUUGGCCCAUUCUCUAGACUUUGGAAGGUAAUGUUCUAUAGAGGCCUGUUCUGAAGCUUUACCAGGUCAAACCGGAGAAGAACCCAACAAGUAACUCAUCCCAGCCUAACUAUUCUUCAAGGGCAAUCAACCUACAGCAUCCAAGCACAGAGAAAUCAAAUCCAUGGAGAAUCUUCAAAUUAGGCUCAGAAUCCAUUUGGGUCAAUGAAUUUACUGUUAUUAAGAUCUUAGUUGUGUUCAACCAUGAUUUGACAUACCUUAGAGUGAGAAGAUAUUCUUCCUGGCCUCAGACUAGUUGAAGGUAGAGAGAGAGACAGGCCCUUGGGUGUGGGGAGACCUCUCCUGGGAUAAUACACACAAAAAACCAAGAGCUGCUCACUGUGGUGCAGGAGACAGCAGGGCCUGAAGCCAGAGGCUCUGUGUCCUUGAAUACAAUGUUUUACUCCUCUGACCCCUGUUACUGUGAUUUGGAGAGGCAGACAAUAUAGGAUGGGCUUUGCAGGCAGGGAGGUCCAGUUAUAAUCCCAGCUCUUACUAAGUUGGGUAAGACUCACUCUGAGACUUAGUUUCUUCUGUCAUCUCUCAAUAGAAUCAUAAAGGUACUUUCCUCUUAGUGUUGUUUUAAAAUUCAGUAAAAUAAUGCAGGCUUAGCACAGGGUCUGAUGUAAAUUUUCAAUGAAUUAUCGUUGUCAAUAUUGUUCUGGAAAACAAGAGGGCAUAUUAGAAGAUCAAAAGUACUGCCAAGCAUUGAAGUGCCAAUUCUAGAUCCAGUCUCAGCCCUCUGAGAAUGGAUAUCAUUGUUUUCAAGCCAUUCAGAAACCAAUGUGAAUUGAACACCUAGUAUGAGCUCUCUGAGGGAAGAGCCAAGUCAUGCAUUUUUUAUCUUAAGGGGUCUUCAAUACCUCUAGCCCAAAACAGUAUCUCCAUCAGGAUUCUUCUCUGAUAGUGUUCAUUUCUUUUUUCUCAAUGGAUGCCUUAAAAAAAAAAUCCUACAAGGAAACCUGUACUCCUCAAAUACACCACUCAGGUGACCAUUAAAUCAUUUACAUUGUUAAUUUCUUUUCAGAUGUGUGUCUUUUUCCCUAGUUACAUCAUCAGGACCUUGAAGGUAGGGACAGGUCUUAGAUUUCUUGAUGCCCCCAUAAAUCUAGGUACAGAGUAGGUCUCUGGACAUCAGUAUAAGGCCCAUGAGCCUGAUAGCUGCCCAGGUGGGUGCUGUGUGCCUGGGCGUGGGAAGGACAAAAGAGAGGUCACUAAAGGGGUUCCUGGGAAGGAAGAGCCCCUCUGACUUUAAAAGGGAGCCCAUACACUUUUUGGACAACUGGAAUAAUCAGAAAGCUGUUUUUGGGGAGGCAGCAGCCAGAAAAACCUGGGGCAUUGGGUCAACCAAAGCCCUUCCCAAGGCUGCAGUGGCUGCAGCUAGUUAGCCCAGCUUCCCUACCAGCCCCAGGGCUGCAACUGAACAGUGUUGGCUUCUUAAUAAAAACAG